This 406-nucleotide ribosomal RNA is filed under the name uncultured bacterium. RNAcentral describes it as "partial 16S ribosomal RNA". It matches the Rfam family "Bacterial small subunit ribosomal RNA", at positions 30 to 526 of the family's 1533-position model. The record is from RNAcentral.
AUUGAACGCUGGCGGCAGGCUUAACACAUGCAAGUCGAGCGAGAGGCGGACGGGUGAGUAAUGUCUGGGAAACUGCCUGAUGGAGGGGGAUAACUACUGUAAACGGUAGCUAAUACCGCAUACCAUCAGAUGUGCUCUGAUUGGAUUAGCUAGUAGGUGGGGUAAUGGCUCACCUAGGCGACGAGCCCUAGCUGGUCUGAGAGGAUGACCAGCCACACUGGAACUGAGACACGGUCCAGACUCCUACGGUAGGAAGCAGUGGGGAAUAUUGCACAAUGGGCGAAAGCCUGAUGGAGCCAUGCCGCGUGUGUGAAGAAGGCCUUCGGGUUGUAAAGCUCUGUCAUCGAGGAGGCGUUACUCGCAGAAGAAGCACCGGCUAACUACGUGCCAGCAGCCGCGGUAAUUC